CCUACGGGGGGCAGCAGUCGAGAAUCAUUCACAAUGGGGGAAACCCUGAUGGUGCGACGCCGCGUGGGGGAAUGAAGGUCUUCGGAUUGUAAACCCCUGUCAUGUGGGAGCAAAUUAAAAAGAUAGUACCACAAGAGGAAGAGACGGCUAACUCUGUGCCAGCAGCCGCGGUAAUACAGAGGUCUCAAGCGUUGUUCGGAAUCACUGGGCGUAAAGCGUGCGUAGGCUGUUUCGUAAGUCGUGUGUGAAAGGCGCGGGCUCAACCCGCGGACGGCACAUGAUACUGCGAGACUAGAGUAAGGGAGGGGGAACCGGAAUUCUCGGUGUAGCAGUGAAAUGCGUAGAUAUCGAGAGGAACACUCGUGGAGAAGGCGGGUUCCUGGACAUUAACUGACGCUGAGGCACGAAGGCCAGGGGAGCGAAAGGGAUUAGAUACCCCAGUAGUC
Molecule: ribosomal RNA, 446 nt
Filed under: uncultured bacterium
Lineage: Bacteria
Description: partial 16S ribosomal RNA
Rfam family: Bacterial small subunit ribosomal RNA
Source: RNAcentral